This 817-nucleotide ribosomal RNA is filed under the name Salmonella enterica subsp. enterica serovar Typhimurium. RNAcentral's name for it is "partial 23S ribosomal RNA". It matches the Rfam family "Bacterial large subunit ribosomal RNA", at positions 885 to 1616 of the family's 2925-position model. Lineage: Bacteria; Pseudomonadati; Pseudomonadota; Gammaproteobacteria; Enterobacterales; Enterobacteriaceae. The record is from RNAcentral.
UGAAUUCAUCUCCGGGGGUAGAGCACUGUUUCGGCUAGGGGGGCAUCCCGGCUUACCAACCCGAUGCAAACUGCGAAUACCGGAGAAUGUUAUCACGGGAGACACACGGCGGGUGCUAACGUCCGUCGUGAAGAGGGAAACAACCCAGACCGCCAGCUAAGGUCCCAAAGUCAUGGUUAAGUGGGAAACGAUGUGGGAAGGCCCAGACAGCCAGGAUGUUGGCUUAGAAGCAGCCAUCAUUUAAAGAAAGCGUAAUAGCUCACUGGUCGAGUCGGCCUGCGCGGAAGAUGUAACGGGGCUAAACCAUGCACCGAAGCUGCGGCAGCGAACGUAUCACCCAAGACAACUUUACGGAGUUGACGAUUGACGGAGCGAAGCGACGUCAAAGCGUUCAUUAAAGUCGAGUUGGCUUAGGGAUACGUUCGUUGGGUAGGGGAGCGUUCUGUAAGCCUGUGAAGGUGUGUCGUGAGGCAUGCUGGAGGUAUCAGAAGUGCGAAUGCUGACAUAAGUAACGAUAAAGCGGGUGAAAAGCCCGCUCGCCGGAAGACCAAGGGUUCCUGUCCAACGUUAAUCGGGGCAGGGUGAGUCGACCCCUAAGGCGAGGCCGAAAGGCGUAGUCGAUGGGAAACGGGUUAAUAUUCCCGUACUUGGUGUUACUGCGAAGGGGGGACGGAGAAGGCUAUGUUGGCCGGGCGACGGUUGUCCCGGUUUAAGCGUGUAGGUGUGUGUUCCAGGUAAAUCCGGUUCACUUUAACACUGAGGCGUGACGACGAGGCACUACGGUGCUGAAGCAACAAAUGCCCUGCUUCCAGGAAAA